RNAcentral lists this long non-coding RNA (357 nucleotides) under Rattus norvegicus (Norway rat). RNAcentral's name for it is "long non-coding RNA NONRATT024319". The record is from RNAcentral. Lineage: Eukaryota; Metazoa; Chordata; Mammalia; Rodentia; Muridae.
GCCUUAUUUAUAAUAGUCAGAAGCUGGAAAGAACCCAGAUGCCCUUCAACAGAGAAAUGGAUACAGAAAAUGUGGUACAUCUACACAAUGGAAUAUUACUCAGCUAUCAAAAACAACGACUUUAUGAAAUUCGUAGGCAAAUGGCUGGAACUGGAAAAUAUCAUCCUGAGUGAGCUAACCCAAACACAGAAAGACAUACAUGGUAUGCACUCACUGAUAAGUGGCUAUUAGCCCAAAUGCUUGAAUUACCCUAAAUGCCUAGAACAAAUGAAACUCAAGACAGAUGAUCAAAAUGUGAAUGGUUCACUCCUUCUUUAAAAGGGGAACAAGAAUACCCUUGGCAGGGAAGAGAGAGGC